This 596-nucleotide ribosomal RNA is filed under the name uncultured bacterium. Its description in RNAcentral is "bacterial SSU rRNA". It matches the Rfam family "Bacterial small subunit ribosomal RNA", at positions 112 to 704 of the family's 1533-position model. The record is from RNAcentral.
AAUGCAUCGGAAUCUACCCUGUCGUGGGGGAUAACGUAGGGAAACUUACGCUAAUACCGCAUACGACCGAGAGGUGAAAGUGGGGGACCGAAAGGCCUCACGCGAUUGGAUGAGCCGAUGCCGGAUUAGCUAGUUGGUGGGGUAAAGGCCCACCAAGGCGACGAUCCGUAGCUGGUCUGAGAGGAUGAUCAGCCACACUGGGACUGAGACACGGCCCAGACUCCUACGGGAGGCAGCAGUGGGGAAUAUUGGACAAUGGGCGCAAGCCUGAUCCAGCCAUGCCGCGUGUGUGAAGAAGGCCCUCGGGUUGUAAAGCACUUUUGUUCGGGAAGAAAUCGUGCAGAUUAAUACUUCGUACGGAUGACGGUACCGAAAGAAUAAGCACCGGCUAACUUCGUGCCAGCAGCCGCGGUAAUACGAAGGGUGCAAGCGUUACUCGGAAUCACUGGGCGUAAAGCGUGCGUAGGCGGUUCGUUAAGUCUGCUGUGAAAGCCCUGGGCUCAACCUGGGAACUGCAGUGGAUACUGGCGGGCUAGAGUGUGAUAGAGGAUGGUGGAAUUCCCGGUGUAGCGGUGAAAUGCGUAGAGAUCGGGAGG